This is a long non-coding RNA of Eubalaena glacialis (North Atlantic right whale), 484 nucleotides long. RefSeq lists it as uncharacterized. NCBI's taxonomy places the organism in Eukaryota, Metazoa, Chordata, Mammalia, Artiodactyla, Balaenidae. The record is from RefSeq and is a predicted model, not a curated record. The transcript has 3 exons.
ACGACCCUGGGCAUGUCCUCAGCUGUCAGGUCUCCCUUGCUGAGACGUGAGCUCCCGGCGCUCAGAUGGAAUCUUCCUCUUCUUGGCAUGGACUUGAGCAACCCGCCCUGCUCCUGUCCUGCAGCCACAUCUACAUCACACGUGCAGAAGACGAGGCUGAGAAGGGACUCCGUAUUGUCAAGGCAAGUGUGGGAUGCAGCAUGCAGACCAACUUCGGAACACAGAAAACACCCUCUACCAUGUCCGAGUGAGGCUCAUUUCCCCUGAGGAUGGCACUAAACGCAACAAAGAGAAAACAGUACAGACCCAGCUGUUUUCCAAUAGUCAUAGGACUCAUACCUAAUGCCGACGGACUACCAAGCGUAUUUGCACAAACUCUAUCACACACAGCACAUGGAAUCUCCAGGCGUGGCCAUGAAAGAAAACGGCAUGUUCUCCUUGUCAAAAUGCCCUCUUCUUGCCAACCCACUGCACCAAACUGAAC